Molecule: ribosomal RNA, 372 nt
Filed under: uncultured organism
Description: partial 16S ribosomal RNA
Rfam family: Bacterial small subunit ribosomal RNA
Source: RNAcentral
GUAGGUGGCAAGCGUUGUCCGGAAUUAUUGGGCGUAAAGCGCGCGCAGGUGGUUCUUUAAGUCUGAUGUGAAAGCCCCCGGGCUCAACCGGGGAGGGCAUUGGAAACUGGGGAACUUGAGUGCAGGAGAGGAAAGUGGAAUUCCACGUGUAGCGGUGAAAUGCGUAGAUAUGUGGAGGAACACCAGUGGCGAAGGCGACUUUCUGGCCUGUAACUGACACUGAGGCGCGAAAGCGUGGGGAGCAAACAGGAUUAGAUACCCUGGUAGUCCACGCCGUAAACGAUGAGUGCUAAGUGUUGGGGGGUUUCCGCCCCUCAGUGCUGCAGCUAACGCAUUAAGCACUCCGCCUGGGGAGUACGGUCGCAAAGACUG